GGCGGCACGCCUAACACAUGCAAGUCGAGCGGUAACAUGGUUAGUAGCAAUACUAACUGAUGACGAGCGGCGGACGGGUGAGUAAUACGUAGGAACCUGUCAUUCAGAGGGGGACAACCAAGGGAAACUUUGGCUAAUACCGCGUAAUCUCGAGAGAGCAAAGUUGCCCGCAAGGGUGACGCUGAAUGAGGGGCCCGCGUCCGAUUAGCUAGUUGGUGGGGUAAAAGCCUACCAAGGCGAUGAUCGGUAACUGGUCUGAGAGGACGACCAGUCACACUGGGACUGAGACACGGCCCAGACUCCUACGGGAGGCAGCAGUGGGGAAUCUUGGACAAUGGGGGAAACCCUGAUCCAGCGAUGCCGCGUGGGUGAAGAAGGCCUUCGGGUUGUAAAGCCCUUUAGGCCGGGAAGAAGGGUAGUAGUCGAAUAAACUAUUACUUUGACGGUACAGGCAGAAUAAGCACCGGCAAACUCUGUGCCAGCAGCCGCG
RNAcentral lists this ribosomal RNA (490 nucleotides) under uncultured Gammaproteobacteria bacterium. RNAcentral's name for it is "bacterial SSU rRNA". It matches the Rfam family "Bacterial small subunit ribosomal RNA", at positions 38 to 519 of the family's 1533-position model. The record is from RNAcentral. Lineage: Bacteria; Pseudomonadati; Pseudomonadota; Gammaproteobacteria.